Molecule: ribosomal RNA, 253 nt
Filed under: uncultured bacterium
Lineage: Bacteria
Description: partial 16S ribosomal RNA
Rfam family: Bacterial small subunit ribosomal RNA
Source: RNAcentral
UACGAAGGGGGCUAGCGUUGCUCGGAAUUACUGGGCGUAAAGCGCACGUAGGCGGCUCCUUAAGUCGGGGGUGAAAUCCUGGAGCUCAACUCCAGAACUGCCUUCGAUACUGUAGAGCUUGAGUUCGGGAGAGGUGAGUGGAACUGCGAGUGUAGAGGUGAAAUUCGUAGAUAUUCGCAAGAACACCAGUGGCGAAGGCGGCUCACUGGCCCGAUACUGACGCUGAGGUGCGAAAGCGUGGGGAGCAAACAGG